CGCCAGACUCCUACGGGAGGCAGCAGUGGGGGAUAUUGGACAAUGGGGGAAACCCUGAUCCAGCGACGCCGCGUGAGUGAAGAAGUAUUUCGGUAUGUAAAGCCCUAUCAGCAGGGAAGAAGAAAUGACGGUACCUGAGUAAGAAGCACCGGCUAAAUACGUGCCAGCAGCCGCGGUAAUACGUAUGGUGCAAGCGUUAUCCGGAUUUACUGGGUGUAAAGGGAGCGUAGACGGCAGCGCAAGUCUGAAGUGAAAUGCCGGGGCUUAACCCCGGAACUGCUUUGGAAACUGUGCAGCUGGAGUGCAGGAGAGGUAAGUGGAAUUCCUAGUGUAGCGGUGAAAUGCGUAGAUAUUAGGAGGAACACCAGUGGCGAAGGCGGCUUACUGGACUGUAACUGACGUUGAGGCUCGAAAGCGUGGGGAGCAAACAGGAUUAGAUACCCUAGUACU
This 450-nucleotide ribosomal RNA is filed under the name uncultured bacterium. RNAcentral's name for it is "bacterial SSU rRNA". It matches the Rfam family "Bacterial small subunit ribosomal RNA", at positions 329 to 794 of the family's 1533-position model. The record is from RNAcentral.